This 24-nucleotide non-coding RNA is filed under the name Cricetulus griseus (Chinese hamster). The record is from RNAcentral. Lineage: Eukaryota; Metazoa; Chordata; Mammalia; Rodentia; Cricetidae.
GUGUGUUGUCUGUCCCCAGAGACC